AUGCUGGAGUUGAAUGUGGGGACAAUCCUCUCUUUAUCCAUAGCACCAUUAAUAUGGUUCUCACCGGAACUAUCGGUCUCAUUGGAGUUGCUCACGACACCGACAUCGAUCCUUUUGAGAUCAGCCGGAUUCAUUUUAUCAAGUAUUACGUCGACUUGUUGAUUGAGACAAGCUACAUACUUGAUUUUCAUGGCGUUGAUUUUUGCUGCAUUUUGCCAAGGUGGACUUCCUGAAGAAAUAUGACACUUUCAUAGACAAAGAAGAUGAGAAUGCUACUGACACGAAGAAGAUGGGAUUACAGAGACGAAGAUGGAGGAAUGCUACAGAGACAAAGAAGAUGGAGGAAUGCUACAGAGACGGAGAAGAUGGGUAUAUUUAUUAACAACAAUAUCUCAUGGUUUUCACUUAAGCCAUCUUCUCUGUCUCUGUAGCAUUCCCAUCUUCUUCGUCUCUGUAGCAUUCCUCCAUCUUCUUCGUCUCUAUACCAUUCCCUUUUUUUUUGCCUCUGCAGUCCCAUUUUCUUCAUCUCUGUAGCAUUUCCAUUUUCUCUGUCUUUGAAAAUGUCGUCUUCUUUAGUUAACCUCUGCAAAAUGUAGCAAAAAUCAAUGCCAUGAAAAUUAAGUAUGUAGCUUGUCCCAAUCAAUAGGUCGACGUAAUAAUUGCUAAAAUGAAUCCGGCUGAUCUCAAAAGGAUCGGUGUCGGUAUUGUGAGCAGUUCCAAUGAGAUCGAUAGCUCCAGUCAGAACCAUGUCAAUGGUGGUAUGGAUAAAGAGAGGAUUGUUCCCACAUUCAACUCCAGCAUCACUGCCUUAGGACUUUUCCGAUCCUUUUCAAGAGAGAACUCAAGGAAACACUACUUGCAAUUGCUGAAAACGAAGAUGCCAAGUGGAGUAGACCCAAGGGAUGUGGAUUCACAGCAGUGCAAUAGCGGACCCUUCAAGAAUGUAAACGAUUGUUAGAGGAGCGGGUUUAGCCAGACUUGAGCACCGAAUUGGGACCAAGAUCAACGGCUCCACCAAAGGUGCCUCAUGUUCCAGUCAUCAAGAGCCGCUCCAGCCCCGGAGGCGAGGACAAAGAGCAUGCUAAGAAACUCAAGAAUGAUAAUGGUCGUGAGAAUGGAGGUGUUGUGAAACCCAGCCGUGAAUGAGCUAACGGUGGCGGCGGCUGUCAUAAUGGGAAGCAUUCUGAAGGUGGCAGUGGUCCUAGUGAUGGGAAGCCGGAUGGUGGAGUUGCUGGUGAUGAAGGAGGAAACGGUGCUGGUGCGACGGAGGGGGCUGGAGAGGGUGGAAUUCUUGAGAAGCUUUGCUUCAUGUGAUAUUUGGAGGUUAAGACAUGGAAGAAUUUUAAAAAUGAAAAAAAUAGGUUAGGAAGAAUGAAGAGUUAGUGUAGUCGGUCUUUUUUUUAUUUUUUGUUGAACAUGGAGAAUAGUGUAAUCAAUGAGUCAGUCAGUCACAAAAAUUUGUCUUUUCCCUUCUUUUUCUGGAGGAGAGACUAUAAUUACACUCUGCUUUUGCUUUAAAUGAUUUAAAUUGUAGUCACUGGAAUGACUUAGGCCAUCCCCAAUGGUGGCAUUACCAAAAUCAACCAAACCAAACCGUGGAUUAUAGCAAUACGGCAUCGGGGAGCUCGAACGAAGCUCUUUCUGUCGGCGACUGCGCUCAUCAGCGGCGGCGACUGGUCACCUCCGACGACCCCGCCAUGACUCUACACAACCGUUAACCUAGGCCUUAUUCGAGAUGCCAUGACAUCACCUUCGGUACUCUCACUUCUGACAGGUUCACGGUACGUGGUCGUUUUAGCAUUACAUUCAGUCGAGCAUUAAGUGCCUUAGCCUUACCUUUAGCUUAAUUGUGAAUUUUUGUGUUGUUUUGAAGUUAGUUGCAUCAGAUUCAUUAAACUUAAGUGAAACUGCUUAGAUUGUAAUGGAGUUUCAAAUUUCUUUGUGGUUACAUUAGCAGAUUUUUGCUGAAUUUAAUCCUAUUCCAAUAUCCGUGAUUCCCUUCUUCAGAUUACAGGUAGUUCUGUGGUAAUCGUUGCUGUUUUUUCGUUCUUACUUUCAUGAAGAGUUGGUUGAUUGAUGAGAUGCAUGAAAGUUUACCAAGGGCAAGUUGCUUAAAUGGCUCACCCUUGAUGGGCUUCUCUGUAAACUUGUAGAGAUCUGUCCGCAUUAUAUGUCAAUUAGUCUAAAAUGUUUAUUUGUUCACAAGUUUUUGUGGCACAGAACGCUUUUUUUUACUUCGUAAUGUGCCCGUGAUGGAAAAAAACAAGGGGACUUUGGACCUCAUCUUAAGAUAUGAAGUAGUUUUCUAUCACUACACACAUGUCAUUUGGUCAUAUGUUAUUGUGGCAAUCAGGAACAAGAUUUCAUAAAUGAGGCCAAGAACAGUGAGAAAUGCUUGGAAAAUUUUCAGAAGCUUUCUACGCAUAUUGCAGCUUAUGUAUAUGCACCAAGGUCUGUUGGAAUCUAAGCCCAUCAGAAGACUUGGAAUUCGACUUGAUGAAGUUGCAAGAUUAGUAAGUCCAUGAGCUUCAUGUCAAAUUCUGACAAUCUAUAUUUUGGUAAUCAUGUUUUAAAAAAAUUGGACUGGUCUCCAUUCAGAAUUACAUUUGCUUCUCAAAGAUCCCCUUCAUCAUUUGUUGACUACAGUAGUCGAUUAUAUAAUAGUGCAAGUUGAUUUAACUUUGCAAAAUGAAUGAAGGGUAUUAGGACAUUGGAACCACGGCAUUGCGUUUAUGUUUUUCUUUUUCCCUUUUGCCUGAACCCUUGGGUCUGCGGUUGAAGGUUGAAGCUGAAAAAAUAGAUAGACCCUCAGUAAAGGCUGGUUUUGGACUCCUGUGCCCCUUUAUGUUUUCAUUGUUUAUGCUUCAAUUUCUUUGUGAGGAUAUAAUAUGACCAAGUUGGGCAAGAAAAGAAACUAAGAUUUAAUGUACUUCAUGCAAUUUAGUGAAACUUUUGCAGAAAUGAUGUUCAAACACGGGUUUGUGCAUUGUGACCCACAUGCUGCCAACUUGUUAGUCCGACCUCUGCCUUAUAGCGGCAAGAGCAUUCUAGGCAAGAAAAAACCACAGUUUAUACUUCUAGACCUGGUAUGUAUAAGGAUCUUGAGACCAGAACUAACUACGCUGAACUGUGGACGGUGCACCAUUGCUUUUCUUGGAAUAGUUUUCUUCCAUAUUGUAGCAACUUACUUUGCUGUGUUCUCUAUGUUGUUAUGAUUGUUGCAGGCUUUGAUUUUUGCUGAUGCCAAUGCAAUAGAACAAAAUAGUGCAAAAUUAGGUGCUGGAGAGGAUUUGUAUCCAUUAUUUGCAGGGAUUCUUAGUAUGAGGCCUUGGAAUAGAGUCAUUGACCCAGCCGUUGAUCAUUUGGUUAUACAGGGCAGCAGAAGUGGCCGUUCAGAACUGCAGGUGAGCUCUUACAAUGGGUUAAGUGCUUUCACGAUAUUUGUAAUUCUUUGAGACCUGAGUUAUAUGCUGUACAAUGUUGCUGAUUCAGUUCUAGCCUCAGUGAGAAGCCUUGUACUCUUCGCAAUCUUAGCGUUUAGGGUUCAUGAUACGUGUUACGUGGUUGUUUUAGCAUUACACUCAGUUGAGCAUUAAGUGCCUGAGUUAGUUGCAUCAGAUUCAUUAAAUCUAAGUGAAAAAUCAGAUUAGAAUGGAGUUCCAGAUUUCCUUGUGGUUAGAUUAUGACUAUUCACUAUGGGGACUGCCUGAGGGAAGCAGUGAGAGGGCAAAAGCUAAGCAUGAAGUUCACCUCAGGUCUGCACGUAAGCUUCAAGAAUUAUGUUUCAGCAAUGGAGGCAUAUAUAUCAGGCUCGGUCAACACCUUUGACGGCUGGGCAGAGCUAAGUAAAUGCUCAAUCAGAACAGUAUGUCUUGAUUGAAAGCAAUUGGCAGCUCAUCGACCUGUCCAUCUACCAAUGAUAGGCAAGAGGCUCUAAAUAUAUGCUCAGCUCCAAUAAAGUACAGAUUUGCUAAUGAUUCCAAUGCUGAUUAUGUGAAGACAGGCGAAGCGUCUCUAAAAUUUCAAUUGAUCAAUAACGCGCAGAUUUUUCGUUCGCAUUAUUCUCGUCGGGCUGUCUAGCGUGUGUUCAUGUCCCUUCUCUAUCAGCUUUCUUCCUAUAAUAUUUAAAUAUCACUAUUUCAAAAUUUCAGCUACUUGGUUGCGAAUGGAAAUACUUAUAAUAUUUAAAUGUCACUGUUUCAAAGUUUCAUUGGUUGCUUAUGGAAAUACUAGUCUAACUAUGUUUUUGUAAUAUGCAGCCAAAACUGGUGGCAGUUUCUAAUGCUAUAAGGUUCGUGACUUUGAAAGCACCCUUUUACCCACGUCUUGCUUAAGGGAAGUACUAGGAUGAACUAAGUUUAUGUUAUUAUGAUUCAGUACUUUAACCCUUCAUGAAGUUGUGGAUGUGGAUUCCGAUACAUCCACACAUGUUAAAUGCUCGAUUCUCUAUUAGCGACAUAUCUAAUGAGGAAACGGUGCUGGUACUGGUGCGACGGAGGGGGCUGGAGAAGGUGGAAUUCUCGAGAAGGUUAUGGAAAAGCUUUCUGAGAUAUUUGGUAGGUUUCAAAUCUUGUGUUGCUCCGCCAUCUGGCUUCCCAUUAGGACCAUUGCCACCUUCAGUACUGGUUUUCAGAUCAGUUGUUGGCUUCCCAUUUGACCACCGCCAUCUUCAGGACUGGUUUUCAGAUCAGUUGUUGGCUUCUCGUUAUUACCACCGCCACUGUUAGUUCCUUCACGACUGGGUUUCAAAACUCCUCAAUUUUCACGACCAUUGGGAGGUGCGACGGCCCCAUUUGAGCUCUCAUUCUCGGGUUUCUUAGCCUAUUCUUUGUCCUCACCUCCGGGGCUGGAGCGGCUCUUGAUGACCGGAACAGGCGGGACCGUUGGACCCAGUUCGGUGCUCAAGUCGACAUUUGCUAGCUGAACUCGCGGCACCGUUGGACCAUUCAAGAGUGUAGAAGAAUGUUAGGCGAGCAGGUUCAGCCAGCAAAUGCCGACUUGAGCACUUGUUCCGGUCAUCAAGAGUUGCUCUGGUCCUGGAGGCGAGGACAAAGAACAUGCUAAGAAACUCAGGAAUGAGAGCUCAAAUGGGGCCGUCACACCUCUUAAUGGUCGUGAAAAUGGAGGAGUUUUGAAACCGGAACUAACGGUGAAGAUGGUAAUAAUGGGAAGCCAACAACCGAUCUGAAAACCAGUCCUGAAGGUGGCAGUGGUCCUAAUGGGAACCCAGAUGGCGGAGCAACACAAGAAUUGAAACCCACCGAAUAUCUCAUAAAGCUUUUCUAGAACCUUCUCGAAAUUCCACCUUCUCUAGCCUCCUCCGUCGCACCAGUAGCAGCAUCGUUUCCUCAUUAGAUAUGUCACGAAUAGAGAAUUGAGCGUAAACGGCAUGUGUGGACGUAUCGGAAUCCACAACUUCAUGAAGGGUUGGAGUACUAAAUCAUAAUAACAUAAACUUACUUCAUCCCAAUACUUCCCUUGAGCAAGAUGUGGGUAAAAGGGUGCCUUCAAAUUCUAGAAACUGCCACAAGCUGAAAGAGAAGGGACAUGAACACAUGCUAGACAGCCUGCUGGAGAAUAACGCCAACGAAAAAGAGGGUAAUCUGGCAAUAGGGUGUAGAGGAAAAAACCCAAUGCCCUUGCGCAAAAGAACGAAAACGGGGAUGAAAAGAAGCAGGCAAGGAAAAUCUCUCUCAAAGAACGACUCGCUAUUUCAAUUUGUGUCAUCAGUUGGGUGUUAUAAAUUGAGAGAGAGAGAGAAAUGACCAAAGCUUAAUUGAUGGAAUGGACAUGUAGCGCUCCUUUAGGUUUAGGCAAAUCUGUUAACCACUUUGUAAAGCUAUUGGCCGCAUUAUUGUAUAUGUCACUCUUAUACAUUGCAUGUUGGGGUUUUCAUAUGGUCAAGCUGCUGAGAUCAAUAUCCCACUCUAUAUAUAAUAAGAAGCUAAUAUUGAAAUCUAA
Prunus dulcis (almond) is the source of this 5961-nucleotide long non-coding RNA. RefSeq lists it as uncharacterized. The transcript is spliced from 5 exons. The record is from RefSeq and is a predicted model, not a curated record. Lineage: Eukaryota; Viridiplantae; Streptophyta; Magnoliopsida; Rosales; Rosaceae.